Molecule: ribosomal RNA, 465 nt
Filed under: uncultured Klebsiella sp.
Lineage: Bacteria; Pseudomonadati; Pseudomonadota; Gammaproteobacteria; Enterobacterales; Enterobacteriaceae
Description: bacterial SSU rRNA
Rfam family: Bacterial small subunit ribosomal RNA
Source: RNAcentral
CCUACGGGUGGCUGCAGUGGGGAAUAUUGCACAAUGGGCGCAAGCCUGAUGCAGCCAUGCCGCGUGUGUGAAGAAGGCCUUCGGGUUGUAAAGCACUUUCAGCGGGGAGGAAGGCGUUAAGGUUAAUAACCUUGUCGAUUGACGUUACCCGCAGAAGAAGCACCGGCUAACUCCGUGCCAGCAGCCGCGGUAAUACGGAGGGUGCAAGCGUUAAUCGGAAUUACUGGGCGUAAAGCGCACGCAGGCGGUCUGUCAAGUCGGAUGUGAAAUCCCCGGGCUCAACCUGGGAACUGCAUUCGAAACUGGCAGGCUAGAGUCUUGUAGAGGGGGGUAGAAUUCCAGGUGUAGCGGUGAAAUGCGUAGAGAUCUGGAGGAAUACCGGUGGCGAAGGCGGCCCCCUGGACAAAGACUGACGCUCAGGUGCGAAAGCGUGGGGAGCAGACAGGAUUAGAUACCCGUGUAGUC